RNAcentral lists this ribosomal RNA (256 nucleotides) under uncultured prokaryote. RNAcentral describes it as "partial 16S ribosomal RNA". It matches the Rfam family "Bacterial small subunit ribosomal RNA", at positions 522 to 777 of the family's 1533-position model. The record is from RNAcentral.
AAUACGUAGGGGGCAAGCGUUGUCCGGAAUCAUUGGGCGUAAAGAGCGUGUAGGCGGCCCGAUAAGUCCGCCGUGAAAGUCCAGGGCUCAACCCUGGGAUGCCGGUGGAAACUGUCGGGCUAGAGUCCGGAAGAGGCGAGUGGAAUUCCUGGUGUAGCGGUGAAAUGCGCAGAUAUCAGGAGGAACACCAAUGGCGAAGGCAGCUCGCUGGGACGGUACUGACGCUGAGACGCGAAAGCGUGGGGAGCAAACAGGA